GAGCAAGAGCCCGGAGAUGGAACCUGAGACAAGGUUCCAGACCCUACGGGGUGCAGCAGGCGCGAAACCUCCACAAUGUACGAAAGUGCGAUGGGGGGAUCCCAAGUGCUAUUCUUAACAGAAUAGCUUUUCAUUAGUGUAAAAAGCUUUUAGAAUAAGAGCUGGGCAAGACCGGUGCCAGCCGCCGCGGUAAUACCGGCAGCUCAAGUGGUAGCUGUUUUUAUUGGGCCUAAAGCGUUCGUAGCCGGUUUAAUAAGUCUUUGGUGAAAGCUUGUAGCUUAACUAUAAGAAUUGCUGGAGAUACUAUUAGACUUGAAGUCGGGAGAGGUUAGAGGUACUACCGGGGUAGGGGUGAAAUCCUAUAAUCCUGGGAGGACCACCUGUGGCGAAGGCGUCUAACUAGAACGAUCUUGACGGUGAGUAACGAAAGCCAGGGGCGCGAACCGGAUUAGAUACCCGGGUAGUCCUGGCCGUAAACGAUGUGGACUUGGUGUUGGAAUGGCUUCGAGUUGUUCCAGUGCCGAAGGGAAGCUGUUAAGUCCACCGCCUGGGAAGUACGGUCGCAAGACUGAAACUUAA
RNAcentral lists this ribosomal RNA (579 nucleotides) under uncultured archaeon. RNAcentral describes it as "bacterial SSU rRNA". It matches the Rfam family "Archaeal small subunit ribosomal RNA", at positions 280 to 859 of the family's 1478-position model. The record is from RNAcentral.